Molecule: transfer RNA, 83 nt
Filed under: Candidatus Ornithospirochaeta stercorigallinarum
Lineage: Bacteria; Pseudomonadati; Spirochaetota; Spirochaetia; Spirochaetales; Spirochaetaceae
Description: tRNA-Leu
Rfam family: tRNA
About the family: Transfer RNA (tRNA) molecules are approximately 80 nucleotides in length.
Source: RNAcentral
GCCCAAGUGGCGGAAUGGUAGACGCGUUAGUUUCAGGUAUUAAUGGCCGCAAGGCUGUGCAAGUUCGAGUCUUGUCUUGGGCA